Molecule: ribosomal RNA, 380 nt
Filed under: uncultured eukaryote
Lineage: Eukaryota
Description: partial 18S ribosomal RNA
Rfam family: Eukaryotic small subunit ribosomal RNA
Source: RNAcentral
CAAUAGCGUAUAUUAAAGUUGUUGCGGUUAAAAAGCUCGUAGUUGGAUUUCUGCCGAGGACGACCGGUCCGCCCUCUGGGUGAGUAUCUGGCUCGGCCUGGGCAUCUUCUUGGAGAACGUAGCUGCACUUGACUGUGUGGUGCGGUAUCCAGGACUUUUACUUUGAGGAAAUUAGAGUGUUUCAAGCAGGCUUACGCCUUGAAUACAUUAGCAUGGAAUAAUAAGAUAGGACCUCGGUUCUAUUUUGUUGGUUUCUAGAGCUGAGGUAAUGAUUAAUAGGGAUAGUUGGGGGCAUUCGUAUUUAACUGUCAGAGGUGAAAUUCUUGGACUUGUUAAAGACGGACUACUGCGAAAGCAUUUGCCAAGGAUGUUUUCAUUGA